UGUUUACUUCAUACAUUAUAUAGUAUUACAUAUUAUCUAUUAUAUGUAUUACUAUAUUAUUAAUAUGUAAAUAAUAUAUUAAUACAUAUAUGAUAUAUAUUAACAUAAUAUACAUAUUUGUAUAUAUUUAUAUAUGAAAUAUAUAUGUAUAAAAUCUCAUUAAAAUACAUUACCAAGUUGUCUCCUAUCACUGAGCCCAUCAAUCACACCAAGGGCAGAACACUAACAGGUAUCAAAACCUGGCUCGAACAUCUACGACUUCUUCUCUACCUCCUCACACUCUGGGCCAUCAGAUCCGGGCUAGGAUGCUGGAUCUGCUUGGUCCUCUCCAACUAACAGACAAGACUAACAGACAAAUAUUAAUAUUUAAUACAUAAUCUAUAAUAUAUAUUGUUAUAUAUGGAUUCAAAGUUCCUUAGAUAAAAUUUUCGAUUCAGUUGAGAAAUAUGUAAUUUUGUGAAUUAUUAAUUUUUUCUUCGUUUUAAUGGGCCAUACCCCCCAAUUUUAUUCCUUCACCCUAGGAGUUUGAGACCAGCCCGGGCAACUGAAUGAGACUCUGUCUCUAUAAAAGUAACCAUCAAGACAUUAGCCCGGCAUGUGAUGGUAUGCACCCUACUUUAAUUGUUUUUCAGUUCCAUGAAGGCAAGGCAAGUUCACAUUUUCCCAUUUCCAAGACAUGGACCAACAACAUGUAACGUCCCCUUGUUACUCAGUUCUGCUCUCAUGUCAGAGAUCACCAGCUUUCUGGCUAACAGUUCCAUGAAGGCAAGGCAAGUGGACGUUUUCCCAUUUCCAAGACGUGGACCAACAACAUGUAACAUCCCCUUGUUACUCAGCUCUGCUCUUAUUUCAGAGAUCACCAGCUUUCUGACUAAUAGGUAGACUAACUCAUUGCUAUUUCAAACUACCGGAACCAAACUAUGAACUCUCACCUGAUGUUUAAGAUGGGAGAGUUGCAAAGAUUUCACCGUUGCUUUCCUAGUCUGAUAUAUUCACAUCACCUGAGGGUCAGAUAAGAGUUAUCUGCAGGCUGAAAAUAACAACAACAGUCAUAAUGACAAUAUUAGUAGUCAUAAACUAAAAGUUAACACUUUAAAAAUUAAUACAACUGGCCAAGUGCAGUGGCAUAUACCUGUAAUCCCAGCACCUUGGGAAGGCAGGGAGACCAGAACAAGAGAUCAAGAGAUUGAGACCACCCUGGCCAACACGGUGAAAUCCCAUCUCUACUAAAAAUAGACAAAUUAGCUGGCCGCGGUGGUACACACCUGUAGUCCCAGCUACAUGAGAGACUGAGGCAGGAGAAUCGCUUGAACCUGGGAGGUGGAGGUUGCAGUGAGCCGAGAUCACACCACCGCACUCCAGGCUGCCAACGGAGUGAGACUGUCUCAAGAAAGGAAAAACCAAAAAUUGAUAAAACUCAUACAAAACCCUUUAGCUAAUAAAAGCUUACAGUACCAAAAACAUCAGAUUACAACAACAAACACUCUAUAUUACACGAAAAAAUAUAUCCUACUCUAUGCUCUUCUUUAUGUUACUCAGUCCAAAUACUUGCUGGUCUACCUGAUUGUUCGUGGUGAUAUUUUUCACUAUAUGCCAAUAAUUACGUGCAUCUUAUUAAUACUUCUGACUUGACUGUUACAACUCUAGAAUGCACAGGUUUUUACUUUAAAAAACAACUGCUGCACCAUCUCAGCCUAUCUGUUUCCACCUGUGUAGGUAGGUUCUUUACUUGGAAGUGGGAGGUGGGUUCUGUGUUCUUGAAUGGAAAGGCACAUUUUUCUCAAAAUGUGAUCUCUUUCUGUGUUUAUCAAUUUUACAUAGACCGAAUGAAAAUACCAAAGUUUUAACAUUUUUGUAUGACACCUGCUGUCUUUCACUAUUGUGAUGACAGUUUUAGGAAUCUCAUAAUGGAGUGGAAAAACAUUUGCUUUUCUAGAUAGCAAAAACACAAAUGCUUAGUUUACAGGUACAUUUUAUGUUGACAAAGCUUUUCCUAAGAAUGACCUCAUAAGCAGACAUCCUGAAGGUUGAUUUAGCCAACUAAAAAUUAAAACUGCCUGUAUUUCAGGAAAAAAAUUAACAAAACAAAAGAGAGUUUACUUGAAAAAUAUUAACUAUAUUAUACAUAUGUAUACACAUAUAUUCAGAUGAAAAGUAUGUUUUAAUUUUAUAGGGACUUCAUUUUAUAUAUUUUCUUUUUUUUCUUGGUUCAGAGUCUCGCUUCUUUGCCCAGGCUGGUGUCCAGUGGCACAGUCUUGGCUCACUGCAACCUGUGUCUCCCAGGUCCAAACAAUUCUCCUCCCUCAGCCUCAGAGGAAGCUGGGAUUACAAAAAUUAGCCGGGCAUGCUAGCACCUGCCUGUAAUCCCUGUAAUAAGUUCAAGUCUCAUCCAAGACAAGGCUGCAAUCCCUUCUGCCUAUGAGUCUCUGAAUGUAAAAGGGAGUUCUUUUCUUUCAAGUUACAGUGAUGGUACAGGCACUGGGUGAGGUUUCUCAACCCAAAGAGAAGAUUUUCCCAGAAUAAUAACACAACUGGGACACAGGCCCAAUGCGAGUCCAAAACUCUGCAGGACAGCAAUCAUUUUUCAUGAGAACUCACUAUCACACAGACUGCAUUAAGGAGAUACCGUUUAACCACUUAUGAAGGAUCUGCCGCCCAUCCCCACGUUCCACCCCCACCCGCGCCAUGAAACCCCAUUCUCCCACACUCCCACUUCCAACCUCCAUUGUCCACCAUGAUUAAAUCACCUUCUACAGAGCCCCACAUUUAAUAUUCCCCGUUACAAUUCCACAAGAGUUUUGGUAGGGAGACAGAGCCCAAUCAUAUUAUUCUCCCCUUUGUCCCCCAAUUUCACGUCCUUCUCAUACUGCAAAAUACAGCUUUGCAUUCUCAACGUUCCCCCAAGGGCUUAACUCAUUCCAGCAUUUACUGAAAUGUCAAAAGCCCAAAGUCUCUUCUGAGAUAAGGCUGCCAUCCCUGCUGCCCCUAAGUCUCUGAAAUACAACGCAAGUUAACUCAUUCCAAAGUAGAAAGAUUGUACAGGCAUUGGGUAAGCAUUCCAAGCCAAAAAGAAGAAAUUUGCCAGAAAGCAGCACAAAAUACAGAUGGGACUUACAGAUAUCAUGCAAGUCAAAACCCCAGCAGGCCACUCAUUCCAUCCUACAGCUCC
This 3169-nucleotide long non-coding RNA is filed under the name Macaca fascicularis (crab-eating macaque). RNAcentral's name for it is "lncRNA (ENSMFAG00000057353.1)". Lineage: Eukaryota; Metazoa; Chordata; Mammalia; Primates; Cercopithecidae. The record is from RNAcentral.